RNAcentral lists this ribosomal RNA (466 nucleotides) under uncultured bacterium. RNAcentral describes it as "partial 16S ribosomal RNA". It matches the Rfam family "Bacterial small subunit ribosomal RNA", at positions 28 to 507 of the family's 1533-position model. The record is from RNAcentral.
GACGAACGCUGGCGGUGUGCUUAACACAUGCAAGUCGAACGGUAAGGCCCUUUCGGGGGUACACGAGUGGCGAACGGGGGAGUAACACGUGAGUAACCUGCCCUCAUCUCUGGGAUAACAGUCGGAAACGGUUGCUAAUACUGGAUAUGAGCUUGCAAGGCAUCUUGUGGGUUGGAAAGAUUUUUUUGGUUGGGGUUGGACUCGCGGCCUAUCAGCUUGUUGGUGAGGUAGUGGCUCACCAAGGCUUCGACGGGUAGCCGGCCUGAGAGGGCGACCGGCCAUAUUGGGACUGAGAUACGGCCCCAACUCCUACGGGAGGCAGCAGUGGGGAAUAUUGCACAAUGGACGGAAGUCUGAUGCAGCAACGCCGCGUGCGGGAUGACGGCCUUCGGGUUGUAAACCGCUUUCAAUUGUGACGAAGCUUUUUGUGACGGUAGCAGUAGAAGAAGCACCGGCUAACUACGUG